ACUUGGAGAUAGCUGGUUCUCUCCGAAAUAGCUUUAGGGCUAGCCUCAAGUGAUGAUUAUUGGAGGUAGAGCACUGUUUGGACGAGGGGCCCCUCUCGGGUUACCGAAUUCAGACAAACUCCGAAUGCCAAAUAAUUUAACUUGGGAGUCAGAAUGUGGGUGAUAAGGUCCAUAUUCGAAAGGGAAACAGCCCAGACCACCAGCUAAGGUCCCAAAAUAUAUGUUAAGUGGAAAAGGAUGUGGCGUUGCCCAGACAACUAGGAUGUUGGCUUAGAAGCAGCCAUCAUUUAAAGAGUGCGUAAUAGCUCACUAGUCGAGUGACACUGCGCCGAAAAUGUACCGGGGCUAAACAUAUUACCGAAGCUGUGGAUUGUCCUUUGGACAAUGGUAGGAGAGCGUUCUAAGGGCGUUGAAGCAUGAUCGCAAGGACAUGUGGAGCGCUUAGAAGUGAGAAUGCCGGUGUGAGUAGCGAAAGACGGGUGAGAAUCCCGUCCACCGAUUGACUAAGGUUUCCAGAGGAAGGCUCGUCCGCUCUGGGUUAGUCGGGUCCUAAGCUGAGGCCGACAGGCGUAGGCGAUGGAUAACAGG
This 588-nucleotide ribosomal RNA is filed under the name Staphylococcus pseudintermedius. RNAcentral's name for it is "partial 23S ribosomal RNA". It matches the Rfam family "Bacterial large subunit ribosomal RNA", at positions 837 to 1429 of the family's 2925-position model. Lineage: Bacteria; Bacillati; Bacillota; Bacilli; Caryophanales; Staphylococcaceae. The record is from RNAcentral.